This is a non-coding RNA of Pelobates cultripes (western spadefoot toad), 215 nucleotides long. NCBI's taxonomy places the organism in Eukaryota, Metazoa, Chordata, Amphibia, Anura, Pelobatidae. The record is from the annotation of a GenBank genome assembly.
GUUUUUCUGUUUUCAUGUGCUGCUUAUUGAAAUACAAAAAUUAUAACUGAAUAUACAAAUCGAUCUUAGAUUUUUCACAAAGGUUUUACAUUAUUAACCAGUGCCCCACAUAUCUAUAUGCCAAGGUGUACACAGGUUUGCUCAAGAUGUGUAUUAGAAUGGGAAACUAUGAAUACCAAUUUUGGCCAAUCUUUUAGUCAAUUAAUGUUGUCCGG